GCGCCCUUAGCUCAGUUGGAUNNACGGCCUUCUAAGCCGUAGGUCAUAGGUUCGAAUCCUAUAGGGCGUGCCA
Molecule: transfer RNA, 73 nt
Filed under: Serratia marcescens
Lineage: Bacteria; Pseudomonadati; Pseudomonadota; Gammaproteobacteria; Enterobacterales; Yersiniaceae
Description: tRNA-Ser
Rfam family: tRNA
About the family: Transfer RNA (tRNA) molecules are approximately 80 nucleotides in length. Their secondary structure includes four short double-helical elements and three loops (D, anti-codon, and T loops). Further hydrogen bonds mediate the characteristic L-shaped molecular structure. tRNAs have two regions of fundamental functional importance: the anti-codon, which is responsible for specific mRNA codon recognition, and the 3' end, to which the tRNAs corresponding amino acid is attached (by aminoacyl-tRNA synthetases). tRNAs cope with the degeneracy of the genetic code in two manners: having more than one tRNA (with a specific anti-codon) for a particular amino acid; and 'wobble' base-pairing, i.e. permitting non-standard base-pairing at the 3rd anti-codon position.
Source: RNAcentral